AUUGAACGCUGGCGGCAUGCUUUACACAUGCAAGUCGAACGGCAGCGCGGGCUUCGGCCUGGCGGCGAGUGGCGAACGGGUGAGUAAUGCAUCGGAACGUGCCCAGUAGUGGGGGAUAGCCCGGCGAAAGCCGGAUUAAUACCGCAUACGACCUGAGGGUGAAAGCGGGGGACCGAAAGGCCUCGCGCUAUUGGAGCGGCCGAUGUCGGAUUAGCUAGUUGGUGGGGUAAAGGCUUACCAAGGCGACGAUCCGUAGCUGGUCUGAGAGGACGACCAGCCACACUGGGACUGAGACACGGCCCAGACUCCUACGGGAGGCAGCAGUGGGGAAUUUUGGACAAUGGGGGCAACCCUGAUCCAGCCAUGCCGGGUGCGGGAAGAAGGCCUUCGGGUUGUAAAACGCUUUUGUUCGGGAAGAAAUCCUCUGGGCUAAUACCCCGGGGGGAUGACGGUACCGGAAGAAUAAGCACCGGCUAACUACGUG
RNAcentral lists this ribosomal RNA (484 nucleotides) under uncultured bacterium. RNAcentral describes it as "partial 16S ribosomal RNA". It matches the Rfam family "Bacterial small subunit ribosomal RNA", at positions 29 to 507 of the family's 1533-position model. The record is from RNAcentral.